ACUGCCGAGAAAAGUUUCUAGUGAGUAACAGAUCGCCCGUACCGCAAACCGACACAGGUAGUCGAGGAGAGUAUCCUCAGGCGCGCGAGAGAACCCUCGUUAAGGAACUCGGCAAAAUAACCCCGUAACUUCGGAAGAAGGGGUGCUGACCGGAAGGUCAGCCGCAGUGAAUAGGCCCAAACAACUGUUUAUCAAAAACACAGGUCUCUGCUAAAUCGAAAGAUGACGUAUAGGGGCUGACACCUGCCCGGUGCUGGAAGGUUAAGAGGAUCUGUUAGCGUAAGCGAAGCAGAGAAUUGAAGCCCCAGUAAACGGCGGCCGUAACUAUAACGGUCCUAAGGUAGCGAAAUUCCUUGUCGGGUAAGUUCCGACCCGCACGAAAGGUGUAAUGAUUUGGGCACUGUCUCAACGAGGGACUCGGUGAAAUUAUAUUACCCGUGAAGAUGCGGGUUACCCGCGACAGGACGGAAAGACCCCAUGGAGCUUUACUGUAGCUUGAUAUUGAGUGUCUGUACCGCAUGUACAGGAUAGGUAGGAGCCGUAGAAACCGGGACGCUAGUCUCGGUGGAGGCAUUGGUGGGAUACUACCCUUGCAGUGCGGCCACUCUAACCCGCGCCACUCAGCGUGGCGGGAGACAGUGUCAGGCAGGCAGUUUGACUGGGGCGGUCGCCUCCUAAAGUGUAACGGAGGCGCCCAAAGGUUCCCUCAGAAUGGUUGGAAAUCAUUCACAGAGUGUAAAGGCAUAAGGGAGCUUGACUGCGAGACAGACAGGUCGAGCAGGGACGAAAGUCGGGCUUAGUGAUCCGGUGGUUCUGUAUGGAAAGGCCAUCGCUCAACGGACAAAAGCUACCCUGGGGAUAACAGGCUUAUCUCCCCCAAGAGUCCACAUCGACGGGGAGGUUUGGCACCUCGAUGUCGGCUCAUCGCAUCCUGGGGCUGAAGUUGGUCCCAAGGGUUGGGCUGUUCGCCCAUUAAAGCGGUACGCGAGCUGGGUUCAGAACGUCGUGAGACAGUUCGGUCCCUAUCCGUCGCGGGCGUAGGAAAUUUGAGAAGAGCUGCCCUUAGUACGAGAGGACCGGGGUGGACAUACCGCUGGUGUACCAGUUGUGCCGCCAGGCGCAGAGCUGGGUAGCUAUGUAUGGCAGGGAUAAGCGCUGAAAGCAUCUAAGUGUGAAGCCCCCUUCGAGAUGAGAUUUCCCAUUCCUUUAAGGAAGUAAGACCCCUGAGAGAUGAUCAGGUAGAUAGGCUGGGAGUAGCAGCCCCGUGAGGGGUGGAGCGGACCAGUACUAAUCGGUCGAGGACUUAACC
This 1309-nucleotide ribosomal RNA is filed under the name Schleiferilactobacillus harbinensis DSM 16991. Its description in RNAcentral is "bacterial LSU rRNA". It matches the Rfam family "Bacterial large subunit ribosomal RNA", at positions 1604 to 2925 of the family's 2925-position model. The record is from RNAcentral. Lineage: Bacteria; Bacillati; Bacillota; Bacilli; Lactobacillales; Lactobacillaceae.